RNAcentral lists this transfer RNA (85 nucleotides) under Felis catus (domestic cat). It matches the Rfam family "tRNA". From Rfam's summary of the family: Transfer RNA (tRNA) molecules are approximately 80 nucleotides in length. Their secondary structure includes four short double-helical elements and three loops (D, anti-codon, and T loops). The record is from Rfam by way of RNAcentral. Lineage: Eukaryota; Metazoa; Chordata; Mammalia; Carnivora; Felidae.
GCCUGGGUGGCUCAGUCGGCUAAGCGUCUGACUUCGGCUCAGGUCACGAUCUCACAGUUUGUGAGUUCGAGCCCCGCCUCAGGCU